Molecule: ribosomal RNA, 1391 nt
Filed under: Pediococcus pentosaceus
Lineage: Bacteria; Bacillati; Bacillota; Bacilli; Lactobacillales; Lactobacillaceae
Description: bacterial SSU rRNA
Rfam family: Bacterial small subunit ribosomal RNA
Source: RNAcentral
CUUCCGUUAAUUGAUUAUGACGUACUUGUACUGAUUGAGAUUUUAACACGAAGUGAGUGGCGAACGGGUGAGUAACACGUGGGUAACCUGCCCAGAAGUAGGGGAUAACACCUGGAAACAGAUGCUAAUACCGUAUAACAGAGAAAACCGCAUGGUUUUCUUUUAAAAGAUGGCUCUGCUAUCACUUCUGGAUGGACCCGCGGCGUAUUAGCUAGUUGGUGAGGUAAAGGCUCACCAAGGCAGUGAUACGUAGCCGACCUGAGAGGGUAAUCGGCCACAUUGGGACUGAGACACGGCCCAGACUCCUACGGGAGGCAGCAGUAGGGAAUCUUCCACAAUGGACGCAAGUCUGAUGGAGCAACGCCGCGUGAGUGAAGAAGGGUUUCGGCUCGUAAAGCUCUGUUGUUAAAGAAGAACGUGGGUAAGAGUAACUGUUUACCCAGUGACGGUAUUUAACCAGAAAGCCACGGCUAACUACGUGCCAGCAGCCGCGGUAAUACGUAGGUGGCAAGCGUUAUCCGGAUUUAUUGGGCGUAAAGCGAGCGCAGGCGGUCUUUUAAGUCUAAUGUGAAAGCCUUCGGCUCAACCGAAGAAGUGCAUUGGAAACUGGGAGACUUGAGUGCAGAAGAGGACAGUGGAACUCCAUGUGUAGCGGUGAAAUGCGUAGAUAUAUGGAAGAACACCAGUGGCGAAGGCGGCUGUCUGGUCUGCAACUGACGCUGAGGCUCGAAAGCAUGGGUAGCGAACAGGAUUAGAUACCCUGGUAGUCCAUGCCGUAAACGAUGAUUACUAAGUGUUGGAGGGUUUCCGCCCUUCAGUGCUGCAGCUAACGCAUUAAGUAAUCCGCCUGGGGAGUACGACCGCAAGGUUGAAACUCAAAAGAAUUGACGGGGGCCCGCACAAGCGGUGGAGCAUGUGGUUUAAUUCGAAGCUACGCGAAGAACCUUACCAGGUCUUGACAUCUUCUGACAGUCUAAGAGAUUAGAGGUUCCCUUCGGGGACAGAAUGACAGGUGGUGCAUGGUUGUCGUCAGCUCGUGUCGUGAGAUGUUGGGUUAAGUCCCGCAACGAGCGCAACCCUUAUUACUAGUUGCCAGCAUUAAGUUGGGCACUCUAGUGAGACUGCCGGUGACAAACCGGAGGAAGGUGGGGACGACGUCAAAUCAUCAUGCCCCUUAUGACCUGGGCUACACACGUGCUACAAUGGAUGGUACAACGAGUCGCGAGACCGCGAGGUUAAGCUAAUCUCUUAAAACCAUUCUCAGUUCGGACUGUAGGCUGCAACUCGCCUACACGAAGUCGGAAUCGCUAGUAAUCGCGGAUCAGCAUGCCGCGGUGAAUACGUUCCCGGGCCUUGUACACACCGCCCGUCACACCAUGAGAGUUUGUAAC